This 253-nucleotide ribosomal RNA is filed under the name uncultured bacterium. RNAcentral's name for it is "partial 16S ribosomal RNA". It matches the Rfam family "Bacterial small subunit ribosomal RNA", at positions 524 to 776 of the family's 1533-position model. The record is from RNAcentral.
UACGUAGGGGGCAAGCGUUGUCCGGAAUCAUUGGGCGUAAAGCGCGUGUAGGCGGUUCGGUAAGUCUGCUGUGAAAGUCCAGGGCUCAACCCUGGGAUGCCGGUGGAUACUGUCGGACUAGAGUACGGAAGAGGCGAGUGGAAUUCCCGGUGUAGCGGUGAAAUGCGCAGAUAUCGGGAGGAACACCAAUUGCGAAGGCAGCUCGCUGGGACGUCACUGACGCUGAGACGCGAAAGCGUGGGGAGCAAACCGG